GAGGGAUGGAAGGAGAGAGAGAUGGACUACAAACUGGGACAGGUAGGAUGGAGGGAUGGAAGGAGAGAGAGAUGGACUACAAACUGGGACAGGUAGGAUGGAGGGAUGGAAGGAGAGAGAGAUGGACUACAAACUGGGACAGGUAGGAUGGAGGGAUGGAAGGAGAGAGGGGGCGGAGGAAAGGGAAGACAGACCAAAUGGCAUAGUUGUGUCCUUCUCUUGCAGAUAUGUUCAGUCUCUCUCUCUCUCUCUCUAAUUCCUCUCCUUUAUUGUCUCUCUCUCUCUAAUUCCUCUCCUUUAUUGUCUCUCUCUCUAAUUCCUCUCCUUUAUUGUCUCUCUCUCUAAUUCCUCUCCUUUAUUGUCUCUCUCUCUCUCUAAUUC
This is a long non-coding RNA of Oncorhynchus tshawytscha (Chinook salmon), 381 nucleotides long. The record is from Ensembl. Lineage: Eukaryota; Metazoa; Chordata; Actinopteri; Salmoniformes; Salmonidae.